UACGUAGGGUGCAAGCGUUGUCCGGAAUUAUUGGGCGUAAAGAGCUCGUAGGCGGUUUGUCGCGUCUGCUGUGAAAUCCCGAGGCUCAACCUCGGGCUUGCAGUGGGUACGGGCAGACUAGAGUGCGGUAGGGGAGAUUGGAAUUCCUGGUGUAGCGGUGGAAUGCGUAGAUAUCUGGAGGAACACCGGUGGCGAAGGCGGCAUCCUGGACCGACACUGACACUGAGGAGCGAAAGCCAGGGGAGCAAACGGG
Molecule: ribosomal RNA, 253 nt
Filed under: uncultured bacterium
Lineage: Bacteria
Description: partial 16S ribosomal RNA
Rfam family: Bacterial small subunit ribosomal RNA
Source: RNAcentral